Molecule: non-coding RNA, 27 nt
Filed under: Mus musculus (house mouse)
Lineage: Eukaryota; Metazoa; Chordata; Mammalia; Rodentia; Muridae
Source: RNAcentral
GGCACACUUUUUCUGAGAGCUGCCUGA